RNAcentral lists this ribosomal RNA (403 nucleotides) under uncultured bacterium. RNAcentral's name for it is "bacterial SSU rRNA". It matches the Rfam family "Bacterial small subunit ribosomal RNA", at positions 356 to 773 of the family's 1533-position model. The record is from RNAcentral.
GGGGAAUAUUGCGCAAUGGGGGGAACCCUGACGCAGCAACGCCGCGUGAGUGACGAAGGCCUUCGGGUCGUAAAACUCUGUCAUAGGGGAAGAAGGAAGUGACGGUACCCUAUGAGGAAGCCCCGGCUAACUACGUGCCAGCAGCCGCGGUAAUACGUAGGGGGCGAGCGUUGUCCGGAAUCACUGGGCGUAAAGGGUGCGUAGGCGGCCAAUUAAGUCAGAUGUGAAAUACCAGGGCUCAACCCUGGGGGUGCAUUUGAAACUGGAUGGCUUGAGUGCAGGAGAGGAAAGUGGAACUCCUAGUGUAGCGGUGAAAUGCGUAGAGAUUAGGAGGAACACCAGUGGCGAAGGCGACUUUCUGGACUGUAACUGACGCUGAGGCACGAAAGCGUGGGUAGCGAAC